GACGUAGGGAGCGAGCGUUGUCCGGAUUCAUUGGGCGUAAAGCGCGCGUAGGCGGCCGCGCAAGUCGGUUGUGAAAUCCCGGGGCUCAACCCCGGGACUGCGUCCGAUACUGCGUGGCUCGAGGCAGGUAGGGGAGAUCGGAAUUCCUGGUGUAGCGGUGAAAUGCGCAGAUAUCAGGAGGAACACCGGUGGCGAAGGCGGAUCUCUGGGCCUGUCCUGACGCUCAGGCGCGAAAGCUAGGGGAGCGAACAGG
RNAcentral lists this ribosomal RNA (253 nucleotides) under uncultured bacterium. RNAcentral's name for it is "partial 16S ribosomal RNA". It matches the Rfam family "Bacterial small subunit ribosomal RNA", at positions 524 to 776 of the family's 1533-position model. The record is from RNAcentral.